RNAcentral lists this small nuclear RNA (123 nucleotides) under Panthera leo (lion). Its description in RNAcentral is "U2 spliceosomal RNA (ENSPLOG00000004924.1)". It matches the Rfam family "U2 spliceosomal RNA". From Rfam's summary of the family: U2 is a small nuclear RNA (snRNA) component of the spliceosome (involved in pre-mRNA splicing). Complementary binding between U2 snRNA (in an area lying towards the 5' end but 3' to hairpin I) and the branchpoint sequence (BPS) of the intron results the bulging out of an unpaired adenosine, on the BPS, which initiates a nucleophilic attack at the intronic 5' splice site, thus starting the first of two transesterification reactions that mediate splicing. Lineage: Eukaryota; Metazoa; Chordata; Mammalia; Carnivora; Felidae. The record is from Rfam by way of RNAcentral.
AUCGCUUCUCGGCCUUUUGGCUAAGAUCAAGUGUAGUAUCAUUCUAUCACUACCCACUUCAAUGCAAAUUUUGUAUUCUUUUUCCUAAAGGGGGCCCUUAACAUUGGACUGGCCCUGCCUUAC